GCUCAGGAUGAACGCUAGCUACAGGCUUAACACAUGCAAGUCGAGGGGCAGCAUGGUCUUAGCUUGCUAAGGCCGAUGGCGACCGGCGCACGGGUGAGUAACACGUAUCCAACCUGCCGUCUACUCUUGGACAGCCUUCUGAAAGGAAGAUUAAUACAAGAUGGCAUCAUGAGUCCGCAUGUUCACAUGAUUAAAGGUAUUCCGGUAGACGAUGGGGAUGCGUUCCAUUAGAUAGUAGGCGGGGUAACGGCCCACCUAGUCUUCGAUGGAUAGGGGUUCUGAGAGGAAGGUCCCCCACAUUGGAACUGAGACACGGUCCAAACUCCUACGGGAGGCAGCAGUGAGGAAUAUUGGUCAAUGGGCGAGAGCUUGAACCAGCCAAGUAGCGUGAAGGAUGACUGCCCUAUGGGUUGUAAACUUCUUUUAUAAAGGAAUAAAGUCGGGUAUGGAUACCCGUUUGCAUGUACUUUAUGAAUAAGGAUCGGCUAACUCCGUGCCAGCAGCCGCGGUAAUACGGAGGAUCCGAGCGUUAUCCGGAUUUAUUGGGUUUAAAGGGAGCGUAGAUGGAUGUUUAAGUCAGUUGUGAAAGUUUGCGGCUCAACCGUAAAAUUGCAGUUGAUACUGGAUAUCUUGAGUGCAGUUGAGGCAGGCGGAAUUCGUGGUGUAGCGGUGAAAUGCUUAGAUAUCACGAAGAACUCCGAUUGCGAAGGCAGCCUGCUAAGCUGCAACUGACAUUGAGGCUCGAAAGUGUGGGUAUCAAACAGGAUUAGAUACCCUGGUAGUCCACACGGUAAACGAUGAAUACUCGCUGUUUGCGAUAUACUGCAAGCGGCCAAGCGAAAGCGUUAAGUAUUCCACCUGGGGAGUACGCCGGCAACGGUGAAACUCAAAGGAAUUGACGGGGGCCCGCACAAGCGGAGGAACAUGUGGUUUAAUUCGAUGAUACGCGAGGAACCUUACCCGGGCUUAAAUUGCAGAUGAAUUACGGUGAAAGCCGUAAGCCGCAAGGCAUCUGUGAAGGUGCUGCAUGGUUGUCGUCAGCUCGUGCCGUGAGGUGUCGGCUUAAGUGCCAUAACGAGCGCAACCCUUGUUGUCAGUUACUAACAGGUUCCGCUGAGGACUCUGACAAGACUGCCAUCGUAAGAUGUGAGGAAGGUGGGGAUGACGUCAAAUCAGCACGGCCCUUACGUCCGGGGCUACACACGUGUUACAAUGGGGGGUACAGAGGGCCGCUACCACGCGAGUGGAUGCCAAUCCCCAAAACCUCUCUCAGUUCGGACUGGAGUCUGCAACCCGACUCCACGAAGCUGGAUUCGCUAGUAAUCGCGCAUCAGCCACGGCGCGGUGAAUACGUUCCCGGGCCUUGUACACACCGCCCGUCAAGCCAUGGGAGCCGGGGGUACCUGAAGUGCGUAACCGCGAGGAGCGCCCUAGGGUA
This 1438-nucleotide ribosomal RNA is filed under the name uncultured bacterium. Its description in RNAcentral is "bacterial SSU rRNA". It matches the Rfam family "Bacterial small subunit ribosomal RNA". The record is from RNAcentral.